GAAAUAACACCUUCAUUUGGACAGUCUAAACACUCUGUAUCUCAAAAAAAGUGAGAGCCCUGAUCUUUGCUGGCCGUUAGGACAAUUCAAUCAUAGAAGACAUGGAAACACCAAAGCUAAGGGUGGAAAUGGCGAUCUGUGCU
This 143-nucleotide long non-coding RNA is filed under the name Pan troglodytes (chimpanzee). Its description in RNAcentral is "lncRNA (ENSPTRG00000053448.1)". The record is from RNAcentral. Lineage: Eukaryota; Metazoa; Chordata; Mammalia; Primates; Hominidae.